AUACGGAGGGUGCAAGCGUUACUCGGAAUCACUGGGCGUAAAGCGCGCGCAGGCGGCUAUUUAAGUUGGAUGUGAAAGCCUACGGCUCAACCGUAGAACUGCAUCCAAAACUAUUUAGCUAGAGUGUGGGAGAGGAAGAUGGAAUUAGUUGUGUAGGGGUAAAUCCGUAGAGAUAACUAGGAAUACCAAAAGCGAAGGCAAUCUUCUGGAACACUACUGACGCUGAGGCGCGAAAGCGUGGGGAGCAAACGGGAUUAGAAACCCUUGUAGUCC
Molecule: ribosomal RNA, 273 nt
Filed under: uncultured bacterium
Lineage: Bacteria
Description: partial 16S ribosomal RNA
Rfam family: Bacterial small subunit ribosomal RNA
Source: RNAcentral